UGGGGAAUUUUGCACAAUGGGGGAAACCCUGAUGCAGCGACGCCGCGUGAUUUAGAAGGCCUUCGGGUUGUAAAAAUCUUUUCUAUGGGAAGAAAAUGACAGUACCAUAGGAAUAAGGACCGGCUAAUUACGUGCCAGCAGCCGCGGUAAUACGUAAGGUCCGAGCGUUGUCCGGAAUCAUUGGGCGUAAAGGGUACGUAGGCGGGUAAGCAAGUUAGAAGUGAAUUCCUAUAGCUCAACUAUAGUAAGCUUUUAAAACUGCUCAUCUUGAGGUAUGGAAGGGAAAGUGGAAUUCCUAGUGUAGCGGUGAAAUGCGCAGAUAUUAGGAGGAAUACCGGUGGCGAAGGCGACUUUCUGGCCAUAACCUGACGCUGAGGUACGAAAGCGUGGGUAGCAAACAGG
RNAcentral lists this ribosomal RNA (402 nucleotides) under bacterium. RNAcentral's name for it is "partial 16S ribosomal RNA". It matches the Rfam family "Bacterial small subunit ribosomal RNA", at positions 355 to 776 of the family's 1533-position model. The record is from RNAcentral.